AGUGUCUCAGACUAGCCAUGCAUGUCUAAGUAUAAGUGUUAUACAGCGAAACUGCGAAUGGCUCAUUAAAACAGUUAUAGUUUAUUUGACAAUCGAAUUUACAUGGAUAACCGUGGUAAUUCUAGAGCUAAUACAUGCUGGUGUGCCCGACUUUUCGGAAGGGCGGUAUUUAUUAGAUAACAAGCCAAUAUUCCUCUGGUCUAUUGUGGUGACUCAUAAUAACUGAUCGAAUCGCAAGGCCUAUGGCCGCGAUAAGUCAUUCAAGUUUCUGCCCCAUCAGCUUUCGAUGGUAGUGUAUUGGACUACCAUGGCGUUUACGGGUAACGGAGGAUUAGGGUUCGAUUCCGGAGAGGGAGCCUGAGAAACGGCUACCACAUCUAAGGAAGGCAGCAGGCGCGUAAAUUACCCAAUCCUGAUUCAGGGAGGUAGUGACAAGAAAUAACGGACCGAGGCCUUCGGGCUUCGGGAUUGCAAUGAGCCGAAUUUACACCCCUUAGCGA
Molecule: ribosomal RNA, 500 nt
Filed under: uncultured eukaryote
Lineage: Eukaryota
Description: SSU rRNA
Rfam family: Eukaryotic small subunit ribosomal RNA
Source: RNAcentral